UAUUUAUUGCUAUAAUCCUUACCUGUUCCUCCUUUGGGAGGGCAGAUCGGAACAUGAUGAUUGGAGUUCGCAUGAUGUGUGAUUAGCGUCUCUGCGUGGCCGGGACUUGCAAUAAUAAUGCCACUCAAU
Molecule: small nucleolar RNA, 129 nt
Organism: Mustela erminea (ermine)
Lineage: Eukaryota; Metazoa; Chordata; Mammalia; Carnivora; Mustelidae
Product: U8 small nucleolar RNA
Exons: 1
Source: RefSeq, a predicted model, not a curated record